GACGAACGCUGGCGGCGUGCUUAACACAUGCAAGUCGAACGGAAAGGCCCUGCUUUUGUGGGGUGCUCGAGUGGCGAACGGGUGAGUAACACGUGAGUAACCUGCCCUUGACUUUGGGAUAACUUCAGGAAACUGGGGCUAAUACCGGAUAGGAGCUCCUGCUGCAUGGUGGGGGUUGGAAAGUUUCGGCGGUUGGGGAUGGACUCGCGGCUUAUCAGCUUGUUGGUGGGGUAGUGGCUUACCAAGGCUUUGACGGGUAGCCGGCCUGAGAGGGUGACCGGCCACAUUGGGACUGAGGUACGGCCCAGACUCCUACGGGAGGCAGCAGUGGGGAAUAUUGCACAAUGGGCGGAAGCCUGAUGCAGCAACGCCGCGUGCGGGAUGACGGCCUUCGGGUUGUAAACCGCUUUCGCCUGAGACGAAGCGUGAGUGACGGGAAUGGGUAAAGAAGCACCGGCUAACUACGU
This 467-nucleotide ribosomal RNA is filed under the name uncultured bacterium. RNAcentral describes it as "partial 16S ribosomal RNA". It matches the Rfam family "Bacterial small subunit ribosomal RNA", at positions 28 to 506 of the family's 1533-position model. The record is from RNAcentral.